UAACCAUGGUGGGGGCAAAGAAUUUGCAAUUCUUUGUAUCUUUCCCACGCUUGAUAUAAAGUUUCUUUGUCCUUUUGGACAAAAGAAGAAUUUUUUUAAAGCAGUUG
This 107-nucleotide small nucleolar RNA is filed under the name Olea europaea subsp. europaea. RNAcentral describes it as "Plant small nucleolar RNA R71". It matches the Rfam family "Plant small nucleolar RNA R71". Rfam says of the family: R71 is a member of the C/D box family of snoRNAs containing the C (UGAUGA) and D (CUGA) box motifs. Lineage: Eukaryota; Viridiplantae; Streptophyta; Magnoliopsida; Lamiales; Oleaceae. The record is from Rfam by way of RNAcentral.